CCUACGGGAGGCAGCAGUGGGGAAUAUUGGACAAUGGGGGGAACCCUGAUCCAGCCAUGCCGCGUGUGUGAAGAAGGCCCUCGGGUUGUAAAGCACUUUCAGUGAGGAAGAACGCCUGGUGGUUAAUACCCAUCAGGAAAGACAUCACUCACAGAAGAAGCACCGGCUAACUCCGUGCCAGCAGCCGCGGUAAUACGGAGGGUGCGAGCGUUAAUCGGAAUUACUGGGCGUAAAGCGCGCGUAGGUGGCUUGAUAAGCCGGUUGUGAAAGCCCCGGGCUCAACCUGGGAACGGCAUCCGGAACUGUCAAGCUGGAGGGCAGGAGAGGAAGGUAGAAUUCCCGGGGUAGGGGGGAAAUGCGUAGAGAUCGGGAGGAAUACCAGGGGCGAAGGCGGCCUUCUGGACUGACACUGACACUGAGGUGCGAAAGCGUGGGUAGCAAACAGGAUUAGAUACCCGGUAGUC
RNAcentral lists this ribosomal RNA (464 nucleotides) under Vreelandella stevensii. Its description in RNAcentral is "partial 16S ribosomal RNA". It matches the Rfam family "Bacterial small subunit ribosomal RNA", at positions 338 to 795 of the family's 1533-position model. The record is from RNAcentral. Lineage: Bacteria; Pseudomonadati; Pseudomonadota; Gammaproteobacteria; Oceanospirillales; Halomonadaceae.